CGCUGGCGGCGUGCCUAACACAUGCAAGUCGAGCGGGGAUACAGGGAACGGAAGCUUCGGCGGAAGGGAGCUGUAUCUAGCGGCGGACGGGUGAGUAACGCGUGAACGAUCUGUCCCAGACAGGGGGAUAACACUUGGAAACAGGUGCUAAUACCGCAUAAGACCACGUAGCUGCAUGGCUAUGAGGUAAAAGGGGAGAUCCGGUAUGGGGUGAGUUCGCGUCUGAUUAGCUAGUUGGUGAGGUAACGGCCCACCAAGGCGACGAUCAGUAGCCGACCUGAGAGGGUGAUCGGCCACAUUGGAACUGAGACACGGUCCAAACUCCUACGGGAGGCAGCAGGUGGGGAAUAUUGGGCAAUGGGCGAAAGCCCUGACCCAGCAACGCCGCGUGAGGGAAGAAGGUUUUCGGAUUGUAAACCUCUGUUGUGGAUGACGAAGGAAGUGACGGUAAUCCACAAGGAAGCCCCGGCUAACUACGUGCCAGCAGCCGC
Molecule: ribosomal RNA, 491 nt
Filed under: uncultured bacterium
Lineage: Bacteria
Description: bacterial SSU rRNA
Rfam family: Bacterial small subunit ribosomal RNA
Source: RNAcentral